AUACGCAUCCUUUGCUGAGGAUACGGUUAACGGAGCGAAAGCGACGUUCAACCGCAAAAGAAGCAGAGGGGGCUUAGUGGUGGGGUGACUGCGUACCUUUUGUAUAAUGGGUCAGCGACUUAUAUUCUGUAGCAAGGUUAACCGAAUAGGGGAGCCGGAGGGAAACCGAGUCUUAACCGGGCGUUAAGUUGCAGGGUAUAGACCCGAAACCCGGUGAUCUAGCCAUGGGCAGGUUGAAGGUUGGGUAACACUAACUGGAGGACCGAACCGACUAAUGUUGAAAAAUUAGCGGAUGACCUGUGGCUGGGGGUGAAAGGCCAAUCAAACCGGGAGAUAGCUGGUUCUCCCCGAAAGCUAUUUAGGUAGCGCCUCGUGAAUUCAUCUCCGGGGGUAGAGCACUGUUUCGGCUAGGGGGCCAUCCCGGCUUACCAACCCGAUGCAAACUGCGAAUACCGGAGAAUGUUAUCACGGGAGACACACGGCGGGUGCUAACGUCCGUCGUGAAGAGGGAAACAACCCAGACCGCCAGCUAAGGUCCCAAAGUCAUGGUUAAGUGGGAAACGAUGUGGGAAGGCCCAGACAGCCAGGAUGUUGGCUUAGAAGCAGCCAUCAUUUAAAGAAAGCGUAAUAGCUCACUGGUCGAGUCGGCCUGCGCGGAAGAUGUAACGGGGCUAAACCAUGCACCGAAGCUGCGGCAGCG
Molecule: ribosomal RNA, 700 nt
Filed under: Salmonella enterica subsp. enterica serovar Dublin
Lineage: Bacteria; Pseudomonadati; Pseudomonadota; Gammaproteobacteria; Enterobacterales; Enterobacteriaceae
Description: partial 23S ribosomal RNA
Rfam family: Bacterial large subunit ribosomal RNA
Source: RNAcentral